AAAAAAGCUCUCUCAUUCAAGAAGUCCAAAUAAGGAGAAUGGGCUGGGGAAUCUCAAGAAGCCCAAAUAAGGAGAAUGGGCUGGGGAAUUUGAGGUCCUCGGAAGGCAAGGUAAAUAUUGCGCCUGCCUGGCGGGACCCACAGGGCCACACGUGGCAGGAGUAGGUUGCGCCCGGAAGGUCUCCCGGGGAGCCCCCGGGAGGGUUCACUUCGAGGCGAAGCAAGUGGUGGCGUACUCAGGAGCAAGAGGGCACGACAGUCGAGGCAAGCUGUCAACUGCUUGUCUCAUCCCUGUAAAAACACCAUCAUUACGGUCGAUGGAAC
Molecule: long non-coding RNA, 323 nt
Filed under: Setaria viridis
Lineage: Eukaryota; Viridiplantae; Streptophyta; Magnoliopsida; Poales; Poaceae
Description: long non-coding RNA (SVIR_LNC011162)
Source: RNAcentral